CCCUUAGAUGUCCGGGGCCGCACGCGCGCUACACUGAAGGAAUCAGCGUGGCUUUCUCCCUGACCCGAAAGGGUUGGGAAACCCGUUGAAUCUCCUUCGUGAUAGGGAUUGGGGCUUGAAAUUGUUCCCCAUGAACGAGGAAUUCCCAGUAAGCGCGAGUCAUAAGCUCGCGUUGAUUACGUCCCUGCCCUUUGUACACACCGCCCGUCGCUACUACCGAUUGAACGGUUUAGUGAGUGCCUCGGAUUGGUCUCGGCCCGCUCUUUACCGGGCGGCGCCGUUGGUCGAGAAGACGCUCGAACUUGAUCGUUUAGAGGAAGUAAAAGUCGUAACA
Molecule: ribosomal RNA, 334 nt
Filed under: uncultured eukaryote
Lineage: Eukaryota
Description: partial 18S ribosomal RNA
Rfam family: Eukaryotic small subunit ribosomal RNA
Source: RNAcentral